GCGAAUUGUCUGCAGGAGGCAGGGGUAAGACGAAGUGUGGAUGCGUUAAUCGGAAGUACGGGGCGUAAAGCGCGCGUAGGCGGCUAGUUAAGGCGGAUGUGAAAUCCCCGGGAUCAACCUGGGAAUUGCAUCGGAUACUGGGUAGCUAGAAUGCGGGAGAGGGGGGUGGAAUUCCAGGUGUAGCGGUGAAAGGCGUAGAUACCAUAAAGAACACCGAUAGCGAAGGCAGCUUACUAGACCGUAACUGACGCUCAUGCACGAAAGCGUGGGGAGCGAACAGGAUUAGAUACCCGGGUAGUC
This 300-nucleotide ribosomal RNA is filed under the name uncultured Methanomassiliicoccus sp. Its description in RNAcentral is "bacterial SSU rRNA". It matches the Rfam family "Bacterial small subunit ribosomal RNA", at positions 496 to 795 of the family's 1533-position model. Lineage: Archaea; Methanobacteriati; Thermoplasmatota; Thermoplasmata; Methanomassiliicoccales; Methanomassiliicoccaceae. The record is from RNAcentral.